Molecule: unclassified non-coding RNA, 745 nt
Filed under: Hevea brasiliensis (rubber tree)
Lineage: Eukaryota; Viridiplantae; Streptophyta; Magnoliopsida; Malpighiales; Euphorbiaceae
Source: RNAcentral
GCAACUGCUCGAAUGAAAUUACAUUCAUAUAAUUACAUAAUUACAUCAAAAUCUAAUUUACAAGGAUAUACCUAUGAUAUACCCAAAGAUAGUCCCACUGUCUUCAAGUAAUCUCACUCAGCAUCUCUAUAUUUUCUUUCACCCGGCAAUAACUCGGCAACGAAGCAAUUGCUGUCCACCAGUUUCAGCUUUAGAUUCAUGAAAGUGACCAUGAAAAUGCCCUACGCUCGCUACAGCACCCAUAUCUCGAUCUCCGUGAACAGCGUCACUCUCUGCUGGGCCUACGGCAAUACUACUACAUUUCUUGCUAUAAAUACUACUGGCCAUAGAAUCCACCAUUAGUGUUAUUAUAGCAGACAACAUAGCCACAAAACCAGUAAAUGGAAACUUAUGCCAUGGAUUUUCCUUCAAGCAGCUCAACGAUAAAAUGUCGAAAGAAUCAAGCAGAAAAUGCAUAAACUCAGUGGCAAGUAUAAUUCCUGCUGCAAAUGUUUUAACGAUCACAAAGAGGUUUCUUUCUGGAUUUAGAGCAGGAAUUGAACGUGUAAAAAGAGGAGCUCCAACAUCUAUCAUGCUUAUUACUAAAAUUGAGACUAUGGCUGUGAUUUUUAGAGACAAAGCUUUUUCUUUAUCAUCGCAAUGAUUGCUUCUUUCUGUCUCACAUUGGUCGGAUUCUGACAUGGCUUUGGAUGUGAAGAUGGAGUGGAUGAUAAAGAUAAUUGGAAGGAGGUUUAGAAUAUUAUUG